RNAcentral lists this ribosomal RNA (253 nucleotides) under uncultured bacterium. RNAcentral's name for it is "partial 16S ribosomal RNA". It matches the Rfam family "Bacterial small subunit ribosomal RNA", at positions 524 to 776 of the family's 1533-position model. The record is from RNAcentral.
UACAGAGGUGGCAAGCGUUGUUCGGAAUUACUGGGCGUAAAGCGCGUGUAGGCGGUUGGUCAAGUCGGGUGUGAAAGCCUUGAGCUCAACUCAAGAAAUGCACUCGAUACUGGAUGACUUGAGGACCGGAGAGGAUAGUGGAAUUCCCAGUGUAGUGGUGAAAUACGUAGAGAUUGGGAAGAACACCAGUGGCGAAGGCGGCUACCUGGCCUGUUCUUGACGCUGAGGCGCGAAAGCUAGGGGAGCAAACGGG